GCCGAUCUGCACUUGAUUUGUUGGGUCAUUUUUUUUUUUUUUGUGUUUUAAAUCUGGUUUGAAUAUCUAGAUCUUUGCAAACCAUCCAAUACGUAUUUCUGCUACUUUGAGCAAUUUUUUUUUCAGUGCUGUAAUUGGACACAAUUCAGUGUUCAUAGGCAAUUUGAGUUUGUGUAUUUUCACUCUACAACUUCUCCAAACUUUAAGCAUUUUUUUUUUAAAACUCUGGUUCAAAAUUAGUGUGUAGCAUAAAUUGUUUGUGAUCUUGAAAGAAAAAU
This 278-nucleotide long non-coding RNA is filed under the name Vigna radiata. Its description in RNAcentral is "long non-coding RNA (VRAD_LNC013937)". Lineage: Eukaryota; Viridiplantae; Streptophyta; Magnoliopsida; Fabales; Fabaceae. The record is from RNAcentral.